Molecule: ribosomal RNA, 162 nt
Filed under: Fagopyrum cymosum
Lineage: Eukaryota; Viridiplantae; Streptophyta; Magnoliopsida; Caryophyllales; Polygonaceae
Description: 5.8S ribosomal RNA
Rfam family: 5.8S ribosomal RNA
About the family: 5.8S ribosomal RNA (5.8S rRNA) is a component of the large subunit of the eukaryotic ribosome. It is transcribed by RNA polymerase I as part of the 45S precursor that also contains 18S and 28S rRNA. Functionally, it is thought that 5.8S rRNA may be involved in ribosome translocation.
Source: RNAcentral
AGAACGACUCUCGGCAACGGAUAUCUCGGCUCUCGCAUCGAUGAAGAACGUAGCGAAAUGCGAUACUUGGUGUGAAUUGCAGAAUCCCGUGAACCAUCAAUCUUUGAACGCAAGUUGCGCCCGAGGCCUUCGGCUAAGGGCACGCCUGUCUGGGCGUCACGC